RNAcentral lists this ribosomal RNA (250 nucleotides) under uncultured archaeon. RNAcentral's name for it is "partial 16S ribosomal RNA". It matches the Rfam family "Archaeal small subunit ribosomal RNA", at positions 474 to 723 of the family's 1478-position model. The record is from RNAcentral.
UCCCAGCAGUCCAAGUCGCAGCCACAUUUGUUGGGUCUAAAACAUCCGUAGCUUGCUAUUCAAGUCUUUUGUGAAAUCGGGACUCUUAAGGUUCCGGCGGGCAAAAGAUACUGUUUAGCUAGAGACCGGAAGACGCAUCGAGUACAGAAAGGGUAGUGGUAAAAUACGUUGAUCCUUUCUGGACUAACAACAGCGAAGGCACGGUGCGAGCACGGUUCUGACAGUGAGGGAUGAAGGCUAGGGGCGCAAA